Molecule: ribosomal RNA, 490 nt
Filed under: uncultured bacterium
Lineage: Bacteria
Description: partial 16S ribosomal RNA
Rfam family: Bacterial small subunit ribosomal RNA
Source: RNAcentral
AGUGAACGCUGGCGGCAGGCCUAACACAUGCAAGUCGAACGGCAGCACAAGAGAGCUUGCUCUCUGGGUGGCGAGUGGCGGACGGGUGAGGAAUGCAUCGGAAUCUGCCCAUUUGUGGGGGAUAACCUCGGGAAACCGGGACUAAUACCGCAUACGACCUACGGGUGAAAGCAGGGGAUCUUCGGACCUUGCGCAGAUGGAUGAGCCGAUGCCGGAUUAGCUAGUUGGAGGGGUAAAGGCCCACCAAGGCGACGAUCCGUAGCUGGUCUGAGAGGAUGAUCAGCCACACUGGGACUGAGACACGGCCCAGACUCCUACGGGAGGCAGCAGUGGGGAAUAUUGGACAAUGGGCGCAAGCCUGAUCCAGCCAUGCCGCGUGUGUGAAGAAGGCCUUCGGGUUGUAAAGCACUUUUGUUGGGAAAGAAAAGCAGCCGGUUAAUACCCGGUUGUCAUGACGGUACCAAAAGAAUAAGCACCGGCUAACUUCGUG